This 296-nucleotide ribosomal RNA is filed under the name uncultured bacterium. Its description in RNAcentral is "partial 16S ribosomal RNA". It matches the Rfam family "Bacterial small subunit ribosomal RNA", at positions 28 to 334 of the family's 1533-position model. The record is from RNAcentral.
GAUGAACGCUGGCGGCGUGCCUAAUACAUGCAAGUCGGACGGAGCGCUUCGGCGCUCAGUGGCGAACGGGUGAGUAGCACAUGGGCAACCUGCCCUUCAGAGGGGGACAACAGCUGGAAACGGCUGUUAAUACCGCAUAUGCACACAGUGCCGCAUGGCACAGGGUGGAAAGAAAUUCGGUGAGAGAUGGACCCGCGUUGGAUUAGCUUGUUGGCGGGGUAACGGCCCACCAAGGCGAUGAUCCAUAGCCGGCCUGAGAGGGCGACCGGCCACAUUGGGACUGAGACACGGCCCAA